RNAcentral lists this ribosomal RNA (810 nucleotides) under uncultured Staphylococcus sp. RNAcentral's name for it is "SSU rRNA". It matches the Rfam family "Bacterial small subunit ribosomal RNA", at positions 78 to 872 of the family's 1533-position model. Lineage: Bacteria; Bacillati; Bacillota; Bacilli; Caryophanales; Staphylococcaceae. The record is from RNAcentral.
GCUUGCUCCUCUGACGUUAGCGGCGGACGGGUGAGUAACACGUGGAUAACCUACCUAUAAGACUGGGAUAACUUCGGGAAACCGGAGCUAAUACCGGAUAAUAUAUUGAACCGCAUGGUUCAAUAGUGAAAGACGGUUUUGCUGUCACUUAUAGAUGGAUCCGCGCCGCAUUAGCUAGUUGGUAAGGUAACGGCUUACCAAGGCAACGAUGCGUAGCCGACCUGAGAGGGUGAUCGGCCACACUGGAACUGAGACACGGUCCAGACUCCUACGGGAGGCAGCAGUAGGGAAUCUUCCGCAAUGGGCGAAAGCCUGACGGAGCAACGCCGCGUGAGUGAUGAAGGUCUUCGGAUCGUAAAACUCUGUUAUUAGGGAAGAACAAAUGUGUAAGUAACUAUGCACGUCUUGACGGUACCUAAUCAGAAAGCCACGGCUAACUACGUGCCAGCAGCCGCGGUAAUACGUAGGUGGCAAGCGUUAUCCGGAAUUAUUGGGCGUAAAGCGCGCGUAGGCGGUUUUUUAAGUCUGAUGUGAAAGCCCACGGCUCAACCGUGGAGGGUCAUUGGAAACUGGAAAACUUGAGUGCAGAAGAGGAAAGUGGAAUUCCAUGUGUAGCGGUGAAAUGCGCAGAGAUAUGGAGGAACACCAGUGGCGAAGGCGACUUUCUGGUCUGUAACUGACGCUGAUGUGCGAAAGCGUGGGGAUCAAACAGGAUUAGAUACCCUGGUAGUCCACGCCGUAAACGAUGAGUGCUAAGUGUUAGGGGGUUUCCGCCCCUUAGUGCUGCAGCUAACGCAUUAAGCACUCCGC